CCCGCACAAGCAGCGGAGCGUGUGGUUUAAUUCGAUGCUACACGAAGAACCUUACCAGGGUUUGACAUGCAAGUGGUAGGAAACCGAAAGGCGACGACCUUCGGGGAGCUUGCACAGGUGCUGCAUGGCUGUCGUCAGCUCGUGUCGUGAGAUGUUCGGUUAAGUCCGCUAACGAGCGCAACCCUCGCUGUGUGUUACAAGUGUCACACGGUACUGCCGGUCUUAAGCCGGAGGAAGGUGGGAUGACGUCAAGUCAGCAUGGCCUUUAUGUCCUGGGCUACACACACGCUACAAUGGCCAACACAAUAGGUUGCUAAGCCGCGAGGUGGAGCCAAUCCUCAAAGUUGGUCUCAGUUCAGAUUGCAGGCUGCAACCCGCCUGCAUGAAGAUGGAGUUGCUAGUAACCGCAGGUCAGCUAUACCGCGGUGAAUACGUUCCCGGGGCUU
Molecule: ribosomal RNA, 446 nt
Filed under: uncultured Leptolinea sp.
Lineage: Bacteria; Bacillati; Chloroflexota; Anaerolineae; Anaerolineales; Anaerolineaceae
Description: bacterial SSU rRNA
Rfam family: Bacterial small subunit ribosomal RNA
Source: RNAcentral